UACAGAGGGGGCAAGCGUUAUUCGGAAUUAUUGGGCGUAAAGGGCGCGUAGGCGGCUUGGCAAGUGGAUGGUGAAAUCCCUCGGCUUAACCGAGGAACUGCCGUCCAAACUGCUUAGCUUGAGACCGGGAGAGGUGAGUGGAAUUCCCAGUGUAGCGGUGAAAUGCGUAGAUAUUGGGAGGAACACCUGUGGCGAAAGCGGCGCACUGGACCACCACUGACGCUGAGGCGCGAAAGCUAGGGGAGCAAACAGG
This 253-nucleotide ribosomal RNA is filed under the name uncultured bacterium. RNAcentral's name for it is "partial 16S ribosomal RNA". It matches the Rfam family "Bacterial small subunit ribosomal RNA", at positions 524 to 776 of the family's 1533-position model. The record is from RNAcentral.